UCCGUCGUGAGAUGGAAUCUGAGGGAAGCCUGAUGAGCAAAAUACUGCACCGAUGAACAAGAAGCAGCUAUAAGGCCGAAAAUGACUAGAUGAAGUUGCCUAACAAACCAAAGUCCGAUACUACUUGAAGUCAUAACGGUAAAGCUGACGGUGACAUAGUAUGAAAGUUGGCAGUC
Molecule: non-coding RNA, 176 nt
Filed under: Lacticaseibacillus paracasei
Lineage: Bacteria; Bacillati; Bacillota; Bacilli; Lactobacillales; Lactobacillaceae
Source: RNAcentral